GAUGAACGCUAGCUACAGGCUUAACACAUGCAAGUCGAGGGGUAACGAGAGGAAAGCUUGCUUUCCUUGUCGACGACCGGCGCACGGGUGAGUAACGCGUAUCCAACCUGCCCCCAACUAGGGAAUAACCUUGCGAAAGUAAGACUAAUACCCUAUAAUUUCCUCAGAUGACAUCUGACGAGGAAUAAAGAUUUAUCGGUUGUGGAUGGGGAUGUGUCUGAUUAGCUUGUUGGCGGGGUAACGGCCCACCAAGGCAACGAUCAGUAGGGGUUCUGAGAGGAAGGUCCCCCACAUUGGAACUGAGACACGGUCCAAACUCCUACGGGAGGCAGCAGUGAGGGAUAUUGGUCAAUGGGCGAAAGCCUGAACCAGCCAAGUAGCGUGCAGGAUGACGGCCCUAUGGGUUGUAAACUGCCUUUAUACAGGAAUAAAGUUAGCCACGUGUGGUUAUUUGUAGGUACUGUAUGAAUAAGGACCGGCUAAUUCCGUGCCAGCCGCCGCUGUAA
Molecule: ribosomal RNA, 506 nt
Filed under: uncultured bacterium
Lineage: Bacteria
Description: partial 16S ribosomal RNA
Rfam family: Bacterial small subunit ribosomal RNA
Source: RNAcentral